GAUGAACGCUGGCGGCGUGCUUAACACAUGCAAGUCGAACGGAAAGGCUCCUGCUUGCAGGGGUACUCGAGUGGCGAACGGGUGAGUAACACGUGGGUGAUCUGCCCUGCACUUCGGGAUAAGCCUGGGAAACUGGGUCUAAUACCGGAUAGGACCACAUUUUGGAUGGGGUGGUGGAAAGUUUUUCGGUGUGGGAUGAGCUCGCGGCCUAUCAGCUUGUUGGUGGGGUAAUGGCCUACCAAGGCGUCGACGGGUAGCCGGCCUGAGAGGGUGUACGGCCACAUUGGGACUGAGAUACGGCCCAGACUCCUACGGGAGGCAGCAGUGGGGAAUAUUGCACAAUGGGCGCAAGCCUGAUGCAGCGACGCCGCGUGGGGGAUGACGGCCUUCGGGUUGUAAACUCCUUUCGCUAGGGACGAAGCGUUUUUGUGACGGUACCUGGAGAAGAAGCACCGGCUAACUACGUG
This 467-nucleotide ribosomal RNA is filed under the name uncultured bacterium. RNAcentral's name for it is "partial 16S ribosomal RNA". It matches the Rfam family "Bacterial small subunit ribosomal RNA", at positions 28 to 507 of the family's 1533-position model. The record is from RNAcentral.